Molecule: small nuclear RNA, 111 nt
Organism: Hyaena hyaena (striped hyena)
Lineage: Eukaryota; Metazoa; Chordata; Mammalia; Carnivora; Hyaenidae
Source: RefSeq, a predicted model, not a curated record
CUGCUCACUUUGGCAGCACAUACACUAAAUCUGUAAUGAUACAGAGAAGAUUAGCUAAGUCCCUGUACAAACAAAGAUGACAUGUAAAUUCAUGAAGCAUUCCAUAAUUAA